Molecule: ribosomal RNA, 420 nt
Filed under: bacterium
Lineage: Bacteria
Description: partial 16S ribosomal RNA
Rfam family: Bacterial small subunit ribosomal RNA
Source: RNAcentral
UGGGGGAUAUUGCACAAUGGGCGAAAGCCUGAUGCAGCGACGCCGCGUGGGGGAUGAAGGCUUUCGGGUUGUAAACCUCUUUCGCUAUCGAACAAGGCCCGCUUAGGGUGGGUUGAGGGUAGGUGGAGAAGAAGCGCCGGCUAACUACGUGCCAGCAGCCGCGGUAAUACGUAGGGCGCGAGCGUUGUCCGGAAUUAUUGGGCGUAAAGGGCUUGUAGGCGGCUUGUUGCGCCUGCUGUGAAAACGCGUGGCUUAACUUCCCGCGUGCAGUCGGUACGGGCAGGCUUGAGUGUGGUAGGGGUGACUGGAAUUCCAGGUGUAGCGGUGGAAUGCGCAGAUAUCUGGAGGAACACCGAUGGCGAAGGCAGGUCACUGGGCCAUUACUGACGCUGAGGAGCGAAAGCAUGGGUAGCGAGCAGG